CCCCAAUCUUCACUCUUCCUGCAACUGACCGCCAAAAUCCCUAGAAUUUUGGUUCUCAAUUCUUUACAUGAUCAUAGUAAGCUCAAUUCAGCUUACAGAAUGGCCAGAAACAACAACAGCAACAAGGAAGAGCCAAACACAGCUCCGGACCCAGAUCGCUGGUACGACAUAACCUUAGGCCCCUCCUUUAAAGAACACAACAAUCAUCCCUCUCCCAAGUUCUGCACUUUGCGUUAUGAAUUUAAACCAGCUUCAAUUGAUAAAAGUCAACCAGGAUCACUCCACAAGGGAAAAAAUAACAAGGUUACUGUAGAGUAUCACAACAACCAGUAUGGAAAACCCAAAGUCACCUUUGAGGGUGUAAGUGAGGAUUACAAGGAAAAUGAUGCUGUUUUGUUCUUUGAUGGUGAGACCUUUUGCUUGGAGCGGUUGCAUCGUGCAGUGAAGAGGUUGAGGCAUGUUCGGCUACCUGGUGAAUCUGCAGCUUCCAUGGCGUCAGCUACAUUAGUUUCACCAGCAGUUGAAACCUAUUCACCACCAGUUAGUAAAGUAACAAAUCAACAGUCUUCGAACAAGGUGCAGGUGGAGCAGGUUGGCAUUGGUGACUCAGAGAACUCUGGUGCAGAAUCUACGGAGCAGAAAACUCUGGAGCAUCCAUCACAUCUUCCUAAUCCAUCGGACAUGUCGCCUGACGUUAAGGAUUAUGAACCUGAGGAGCAUUUAGACAUAGUCAAUGAUCAUGAUGAUGGUUGUGGGACAACCAACAGAGACAAUAAUUCUGCAAAGGGAUCAGGCACAUUUCUUGACAUUGAUAUUAACCUGCCACAUCAGGUUGACACGGAUGAUGAGAUAGCUGAUGUUGAUAUCAGUGAUGACGACGCUGACAAGGGCCCUAACGCUGCAGAAGCCCUUAGGGCUCAGGUCAAUGCAGAAGUGAUGAAGGAGCAAGCCUCAAGCUCAAGCACUAGCAGUGGAACUGACAGCAGCACAAGUGAGAAUGGUAGUGGUAGUGGAAGUGGAAGCGGAAGUGGAAGCAGCAGUAGUAGUGAUAGUGAAAGCAGUGACAGUGACUCAGUCACCUCCAUCUGAAAGAGCCAUUUUGGUUCACUUAGAUGCUGAGUUUAAUGAUCUGGCUGACAUGAUGUAGUUUAGGGCUUGUAUUUAGCAUUCAGAUUGGAGAAAAGGGUAGAAUUACUGAAAUUAGUCACUCAUUGCUUGUGUAAUACGAAAUCUUGAGCCAAAUACACCAAAUGAUUGUACAGAUUUAGCUUAAGAUUUUAGCUUCCAUUUUUAAAUCCAGUUUGAUCAAUUUGUUUAGAAGUUGAUAUUAAUGCAGUGAACCUUUUAAAUUCCCCCGGGCCAAGUGAUUCCUGAGAUUUAUUCUCAUGUCACUUACACCCACUGUGUGAUAUGUAAGGAAGACUGAAGCUUGAAAUGUAUAUGUGGGAGGAAGCAAUUCCAAAAUCAUGUUCAAGCAAGU
This 1480-nucleotide unclassified non-coding RNA is filed under the name Hevea brasiliensis (rubber tree). Lineage: Eukaryota; Viridiplantae; Streptophyta; Magnoliopsida; Malpighiales; Euphorbiaceae. The record is from RNAcentral.